Molecule: ribosomal RNA, 497 nt
Filed under: uncultured bacterium
Lineage: Bacteria
Description: partial 16S ribosomal RNA
Rfam family: Bacterial small subunit ribosomal RNA
Source: RNAcentral
GAUGAACGCUGGCGGCGUGCCUAAUACAUGCAAGUCGAGCGAAAAGAUGAGGAGCUUGCUCCUCUGACGUUAGCGGAGGACGGGUGAGUAACACGUGGAUAACCUACCUAUAAGACUGGGAUAACCUCGGGAAACCGGAGCUAAUACCGGAGAAGAUAUUGAACCACAGGGGGGAAUAGAGAAAGACGGUGUUGCGGUCAGGUAUCGAUGGAUACCAGCCGCAUUAGCUAGUUGGUAGGGUAAAGGGCUACCAAGGGAACGAUGCGUAGCCGAGCUGAGAGGCUGGUCGGCCACACUGGAACUUGGACACGCUCCAGGCUCCUGCGGGAGGCACCAGUAGCGAAUCUUCCGCAAAGGGCGAAAGCCUGACGGAGCAGCGCCGCGCGAGUUAUGAAGGUCUUCGGUUCGUAAAACUCUGUUAUUAGGGAUGAACAAAUGUGUAAUUAACUAUGCACGUCUUGACGGUACCUGAUCAGAAAGCCCCGGCUAACUACGUG